Molecule: ribosomal RNA, 3435 nt
Organism: Caldithrix abyssi DSM 13497
Lineage: Bacteria; Pseudomonadati; Calditrichota; Calditrichia; Calditrichales; Calditrichaceae
Rfam family: Bacterial large subunit ribosomal RNA
Source: Rfam
GGUUAAGUUGCUAAGGGCAUACGGUGGAUGCCUAGGCACGAGGAGGCGAAGAAGGACGUGGUAAGCUGCGAAAAGCCACGGGGAGGUGCACACAACCUUAGAUCCGUGGAUUUCCGAAUGGGGCAACCCGGCUCCGGUAAUGCGGAGUCAUCCUGACGUAAGUUGGGAGGCGAACCCAGGGAACUGAAACAUCUAAGUACCUGGAGGAAAAGAAAACGAAGUGAUUCUCUGAGUAGCGGCGAGCGAAAGGGGAAUAGCCUAAACCUGCGAGCAUGUAAAAGCCUGCAAGCGUUGUGCUCCGGGGGUAGAGGGAUGCAAUGGUCUGGUGGUUGCAGACGCCAGGUGGAGUUACAAAACCUAAAGAUAGUCGAAGCUGGCUGGAACGCCACACCGUAGAGGGUGAAAGUCCCGUAGGCGAAAUUUUUAGGUCUCCAUACAUUGCACACCCGAGUACCGCGGGACACGAGGAAUCCUGUGGGAAUCAGUGCCGACCACGGCAUAAGGCUAAAUACUCCCUCGUGACCGAUAGUGCAGUAGUACCGUGAGGGAAAGGUGAAAAGCACCCCGGGAGGGGAGUUAAAAGUACCUGAAACCGUAUGCCUACAAUCAGUCGGAGCUGGUUAUAUUCUUCGGGAUAUAACUGGUGACGGCGUGCCUUUUGCAUAAUGAGCCAGCGAGUUGCUCGUACGUAGCGAGGCUAAGCCAUUCAGUGGCGUACCCGAAGCGAAAGCGAGUCUGAAUAGGGCGAUAAGUUACGUUCGGCAGACGCGAAGCCGGGUGAUCUACCCAUGUCCAGGAUGAAGCGGCAGUAAGAUGUCGUGGAGGUCCGAACCUGUUGGUGUUGAAAAACCAUUGGAUGAGAUGUGGGUAGGGGUGAAAGGCCAAUCAAACUCGGAGAUAGCUCGUUCUCCCCGAAAUAGUUUUAGGACUAGCCUCGAUUAACAGUGUCACGGAGGUAGAGCACUAAUAGGGUUAGGGCCCUCACCGGGGUACCGCCCCCUGUUAAACUCCGAAUGCCGUAGACACGAUGAUCGGGAGUCAGCCUGUGAGGGAUAAGCUUCACAGACGAGAGGGAAAGAACCCAGACCGUCAGCUAAGGUCCCCAAGUCACGGCUAAGUGAGAAAGGAUGUUAAACCGCAGAGACAACCAGGAUGUUGGCUUAGAAGCAGCCAUCAUUUAAAGAGUGCGUAAUAGCUCACUGGUCAAGUGGUUUGGCGCCGAUAAUUGUCGGGACUCAAGUCGUGCACCGAAGCUACGGAUUCAAGGAGCAAGGUUCAAGGUACAAGGAGCAAGCCGAUGGAGUCGUUAGAUGAUUUAAGUGUUUAUGUUCGUAGUUAUGCUGCCAGCUUGGAAGUUCAUAGAUUAAGCUUGAAGUUUCCGGCUUAUGAGCAGUAUAAAGGACUGGCCACGCAAUUAAGAGAUAGCAGUAAAUCUGUUGUAUCAAAUAUCGUAGAAGGUUAUGGAUUUAAGAAGCGCAGGCCGAAACGCUUUGUAAAUCAUCUAGAGAUAUCUAUAGGAAGUUGUGAUGAGACGCGUUUGUGGUUGAGAUAUGGUUUUGAUUUAGGCUAUAUUCCAGAAGCGCAAUACCUUGAACUGCAAAGGACGUAUGAGGAGAUAGGCAAGAUGUUAUGGGGCAUGUUACGGAUAGUAGCGGAUUAAAGCCUUAUUCCUUGCGCCUUGAUCCUUGUUCCUUGAGUGGUAGGGGAGCAUUCCAUUAACCGUUGAAGGUGUACCGUGAGGUAUGCUGGAGGAGAUGGAAACGAGGAUGCUGGCAUAAGUAGCGAUAAAACAGGUGAGAACCCUGUUCACCGAAAAUCUAAGGUUUCCUGAGUAAAGUCAAUCUGCUCAGGGUUAGUCGGCCCCUAAGCCGAGGCCGAGAGGCGUAGGCGAUGGGAAACGGGUUAAAUAUUCCCGUACCAGCUUUGACUUGUUUGAGCGAAGGGGGGACGCAGAAGUGACCGGCCAGCCGUCUGACGGAAUAGGCGGUUUAAGCGCGUAGGCGGGAUGUGUAGGCAAAUCCGCACGUCCACUAACGCCGAGACGCGAAUAGGAGCCCGUAAGGGCAUAAACUGGCCCUAAUCACGCUGCCGAGAAAAGCCUCUAAGCGAGAGUCAAAGCUGACCGUACCGUAAACCGACACAGGUAGAUGAGGAGAGAAUCCUAAGGUGCUCGAGAGAGUCCUCGUUAAGGAACUCGGCAAAUUGACCCCGUAACUUCGGGAGAAGGGGUGCCCUGGGAUGUGAUUCCCCUUGCGGGAUGAGCGUUCUGGGGUCGCAGUGACCAGGCCCAAGCGACUGUUUACUAAAAACACAUGUCUCUGCGAAGUCGUAAGACGCCGUAUAGGGACUGACACCUGCCCGGUGCCGGAAGGUUAAGGGGAUCUGUUAUUCUGCUUCGGCAGGAGAAGCAGUGAACCGAAGCCCCGGUAAACGGCGGCCGUAACUAUAACGGUCCUAAGGUAGCGAAAUUCCUUGUCGGGUAAGUUCCGACCUGCACGAAUGGUGUAACGACUUGGGCGCUGUCUCAACGAGGAUCUCGGCGAAAUUGUGAUGCCGGUGAAGACGCCGGCUACCCGCAACGGGACGGAAAGACCCCGUGCACCUUUACUACAGCUUGAUAUUGUACUUUAGCUAAGCAUGUGUAGGAUAGGUGGGAGGCUGUGAAGUGUCGACGCCAGUCGGCAUGGAGCCGCCCUUGAAAUACCACCCUUGCUUAGUUGGAGUACUAACCUGCCGCGUUGAAUCACGUGGAGGGACAGUGUCAGGUGGGUAGUUUGACUGGGGCGGUCGCCUCCAAAAGAGUAACGGAGGCUCCCAAAGGUCCCCUCAGCACGGUUGGUAAUCGUGCGUAGAGUGUAAAGGCAUAAGGGGGCUUAACUGCGAGACAUACAGGUCGAGCAGAUGCGAAAGCAGGGCUUAGUGAUCCGGCGGUAGCGAGUGGAAGCGCCGUCGCUCAAAGGAUAAAAGGUACGCCGGGGAUAACAGGCUUAUCACUCCCAAGAGUUCACAUCGACGGAGUGGUUUGGCACCUCGAUGUCGGCUCAUCGCAUCCUGGGGCUGGAGAAGGUCCCAAGGGUUUGGCUGUUCGCCAAUUAAAGCGGUACGCGAGCUGGGUUUAGAACGUCGUGAGACAGUUCGGUCCCUAUCUGUUGCGGGCGUAGGAUGUUUGAGGGGGUCUGCUCUUAGUACGAGAGGACCGGAGUGGACGAACCUCUAGUGUACCAGUUGUUCCGCCAGGAGCACAGCUGGGUAGCUAUGUUCGGUGUGGAUAAGCGCUGAAAGCAUCUAAGCGCGAAACCCAACCCAAGAUGAAACAUCCCUCCCGAGUAAUCGGGACUGAAGGCGCCUUCGAGACUAGGAGGUAGAUAGGCUGCAGGUGUAAGUCCGGCAACGGAUUCAGCCGAGCAGUACUAAUUAGCCGUGAGACUUAACCUA